RNAcentral lists this unclassified non-coding RNA (279 nucleotides) under plant metagenome. Its description in RNAcentral is "partial contains small subunit ribosomal RNA, internal transcribed spacer 1, and 5.8S ribosomal RNA". The record is from RNAcentral.
UUUCCGUAGGUGAACCUGCGGAAGGAUCAUUAUUGUAUAACCGAGGUGCGAGGGCUGUCGCUGACCCCAUGGUUCGUUCAGGGCAGAGCGUUCUCAGUCCCAUCCGUCUCACCCCUAUCUGACUCACCGCGUGGAGCCCCCGUUAGCUGGUUCGGGGGGGCCUUACGUUUUCACACUAAGUUUGUAUGGUGUGUAGAAAGUAUUUUUAGUUUUUUCGGCCAUGCACUUGAUACAACUUGUAACAACGGAUCUCUUUGCACUCGCCGCGAUGAAGAACGG